AACCAUUCUCACCUGCGGCUAGACCUGCGGAGGGAUCAUUAUUGAAAAACUAUCUCUAGUUCUUCAUAUCCCAUUGUUGAUUUACCCUGUUGCUUCCACCGGACAGCAAUUAUUCUUAAUUGAGUUUGAGCCCUUUGGCUUGCGUGCAAGCGCUUGUCAGGGAGUUGCCGGUGGUAAGACUAUUUAACAAAAACUUUGUUAAAAACAUAAAUUGUCUGAUACUUGCUUCUUAAUGAAACA
This 240-nucleotide unclassified non-coding RNA is filed under the name soil metagenome. Its description in RNAcentral is "partial contains 5.8S ribosomal RNA, internal transcribed spacer 2, and large subunit ribosomal RNA". The record is from RNAcentral.